Molecule: ribosomal RNA, 393 nt
Filed under: uncultured bacterium
Lineage: Bacteria
Description: bacterial SSU rRNA
Rfam family: Bacterial small subunit ribosomal RNA
Source: RNAcentral
AUUGAACGCUGGCGGAAUGCUUUACACAUGCAAGUCGAGCGGCAGCGCGGGGGCAACCCUGGCGGCGAGCGGCGAACGGGUGAGUAAUACAUCGGAACGUGUCCUUAAGUGGGGGAUAGCUCGGCGAAAGCCGGAUUAAUACCGCAUAAGCUCUGAGGAGGAAAGCGGGGGCUCCGUAAGGACCUCGCGCUGUUGGAGCGGCCGAUGUCGGAUUAGCUAGUUGGUGGGGUAAAGGCCCACCAAGGCGACGAUCCGUAGCUGGUCUGAGAGGAUGAUCAGCCACACUGGAACUGAGACACGGUCCAGACUCCUACGGGAGGCAGCAGUGGGGAAUUUUGGACAAUGGGGGCAACCCUGAUCCAGCCAUUCCGCGUGAGUGAAGAAGGCCUGGUU